Molecule: ribosomal RNA, 1247 nt
Filed under: uncultured bacterium
Lineage: Bacteria
Description: bacterial SSU rRNA
Rfam family: Bacterial small subunit ribosomal RNA
Source: RNAcentral
GGGUGCGUAACGCGUAUGCAACUUGCCCUACUGAAAAGGAUAGCCCUUCGAAAGGAGGAUUAAUACUUUAUAACAGAUUUAAUGGCAUCAUUAGAUUUUGAAAGAUUUAUCGCAGUAGGAUAGGCAUGCGUAAGAUUAGCUAGUUGGUAAGGUAACGGCUUACCAAGGCAACGAUGCAUAGCCGAGUUGAGAGACUGAUCGGCCACAUUGGGACUGAGACACGGCCCAAACUCCUACGGGAGGCAGCAGUAGGGAAUCUUCCACAAUGGACGCAAGUCUGAUGGAGCAACGCCGCGUGAGUGAAGAAGGUUUUCGGAUCGUAAAGCUCUGUUGUUGGUGAAGAAGGAUAGAGGUAGUAACUGGCCUUUAUUUGACGGUAAUCAACCAGAAAGUCACGGCUAACUACGUGCCAGCAGCCGCGGUAAUACGUAGGUGGCAAGCGUUGUCCGGAUUUAUUGGGCGUAAAGCGAGCGCAGGCGGAAAAAUAAGUCUGAUGUGAAAGCCCUCGGCUUAACCGAGGAACUGCAUCGGAAACUGUUUUUCUUGAGUGCAGAAGAGGAGAGUGGAACUCCAUGUGUAGCGGUGGAAUGCGUAGAUAUAUGGAAGAACACCAGUGGCGAAGGCGGCUCUCUGGUCUGCAACUGACGCUGAGGCUCGAAAGCAUGGGUAGCGAACAGGAUUAGAUACCCUGGUAGUCCAUGCCGUAAACGAUGAGUGCUAAGUGUUGGGGAGGUUUCCGCCUCUCAGUGCUGCAGCUAACGCAUUAAGCACUCCGCCUGGGGAGUACGACCGCAAGGUUGAAACUCAAAGGAAUUGACGGGGGCCCGCACAAGCGGUGGAGCAUGUGGUUUCAUUCGAAGCAACGCGAAGAACCUUACCAGGUCUUGACAUCUAGUGCAAUCUGUAGAGAUACGGAGUUCCCUUCGGGGACGCUAAGACAGGUGGUGCAUGGCUGUCGUCAGCUCGUGUCGUGAGAUGUUGGGUUAAGUCCCGCAACGAGCGCAACCCUUGUUAUUAGUUGCCAGCAUUAAGUUGGGCACUCUAAUGAGACUGCCGGUGACAAACCGGAGGAAGGUGGGGAUGACGUCAAGUCAUCAUGCCCCUUAUGACCUGGGCUACACACGUGCUACAAUGGGCAGUACAACGAGAAGCAAGCCUGCGAAGGCAAGCGAAUCUCUUAAAGCUGUUCUCAGUUCGGACUGCAGUCUGCAACUCGACUGCACGAAGCUGGAAUCGCUAGUAAUCGC